GUUAGGUAGAAAGUCGGGAUGCGGAGAUGCCUAGCCGUUGACUUUCCCAAAUGAUAGCGAACAUGUGAAAGGGGUACCAUUUGGCAGAGGUGGUCUCCCGCGAGUUAAGUUAGAUGCAAUCGAUGCGAAUGCCUGAUCGGGAAGAGAGGAUUCACCUGCGCCAACUCGGGGGAACCAACCCCAAGGUGGCUCGGAAUGCUUGAUACGGAGAAUCCGGUGACGCAGCUCGCCGGCCGAUAACGCCGAUUCCUCUCCGGAGUCGACCUCGAUGAUCCGGCCGAUCGGAAGAUUCCUCCCGUACCGCGUGGAUUCCAGGUCGGUGUCGAAGAAGUUGCCGUCACUCCGAUGACCUCAUAGAGAAAACUUGCUCUCGCCGCGUCCGAGGACUCCAUAAUCCCCGCCAGUUUGCGAGUCCCGUCGUCCGUGACAGUUAUGUCGAUAAUGCCGAACGGCGCCGCAAUUCCCAGGACGUCGAAUUCGACGCCCUGACGCGCCAGGUAGUUCCCCGAGUCCUCCACAUAAUUUUUAAUAUUUUCGGCUAUAUAUUUCUCCGUGUCCGCCGGACGGAACGAUUGAGGUUCUCGUCCAUUCCUCGAUCUGGUUAAUUUUGAUGGCUAGACCCCAAGAUAUAAUUAUUCAUUAGCAAGCAUAAAGGGGGUGAUGCUCGAACUGCUUAUCGGAGAGGUUCCGAGUGGUAAAGCCGAACCAAGCGUGACUCGAGAUCCGGACUCGAAAUACGUUCCGGGGAAGUCUCGACUUAUGGUCCCUAAAUUUCCUUAAAUUGCAGGCUUUAAGCCCAGCCGGGUCUCGAGUCGAGGUUAAGGCCAUGCCUUUAUCGCUUCUUGAUGGCCGGGUCGAGAUGUAGGCCCAGUUUUACGGGGAAUCGGG
Molecule: long non-coding RNA, 888 nt
Organism: Orussus abietinus
Lineage: Eukaryota; Metazoa; Arthropoda; Insecta; Hymenoptera; Orussidae
Exons: 3
Source: RefSeq, a predicted model, not a curated record